RNAcentral lists this unclassified non-coding RNA (245 nucleotides) under uncultured fungus. Its description in RNAcentral is "sequence contains ITS1". The record is from RNAcentral. Lineage: Eukaryota; Fungi.
GUUUUCAAAUUUUAGAAACCUCACAAAGAGGCAUUCAAAUACACAAAAUAAGCAAAGCAGGUGUUGUUUGUGGCUGGCGGUCCGAGCGAAAGACAAAGUGUCUGACACCCAUGGUUUGUGGACCGCCAAAAUACAGGAAACGUUACACAAAGAGGUGGAUAUGAGUGGGCGUAGCUGCGUUUUUAAGGCAGCACCGCCACAUCCUCAAUUCUUUAAUGAUCCAACCGCAGGUUCACCUACGGUUA